This 499-nucleotide ribosomal RNA is filed under the name uncultured bacterium. RNAcentral's name for it is "partial 16S ribosomal RNA". It matches the Rfam family "Bacterial small subunit ribosomal RNA", at positions 28 to 507 of the family's 1533-position model. The record is from RNAcentral.
GACGAACGCUGGCGGCGUGCCUAAUACAUGCAAGUCGAGCGAAGUUUUUCUGGUGCUUGCACUAGAAAAACUUAGCGGCGAACGGGUGAGUAACACGUAAAGAACCUGCCUCAUAGACUGGGACAACUAUUGGAAACGAUAGCUAAUACCGGAUAACAGUAUUUCUCGCAUGAGAGAUAUUUAAAAGUUGGUUAUGCUAACACUAUGAGAUGGCUUCGCGGUGCAUUAGCUAGUUGGUGGGGUAAAGGCCCACCAAGGCGACGAUGCAUAGCCGACCUGAGAGGGUGAUCGGCCACACUGGGACUGAGACACGGCCCAGACUCCUACGGGAGGCAGCAGUAGGGAAUCUUCCGCAAUGGGCGAAAGCCUGACGGAGCAACGCCGCGUGAGUGAAGAAGGAUUUCGGUUCGUAAAGCUCUGUUGUUAGGGAAGAAUGGAUAUGUAGUAACUAUACAUGUAAGAGACGGUACCUAACCAGAAAGCCACGGCUAACUACGUG